Long non-coding RNA from Nerophis ophidion (straightnose pipefish), 1013 nucleotides. RefSeq lists it as uncharacterized. The record is from RefSeq and is a predicted model, not a curated record. The transcript has 2 exons. Lineage: Eukaryota; Metazoa; Chordata; Actinopteri; Syngnathiformes; Syngnathidae.
UAUUCUUCCGUACGAUAUAGAAGUGUAUUUUACUGUACAAGACUGUAUUGCAUGUUGCUUACCUGCUGGGCUGGAGAAGAUGAAGCAGAGAGGGUAGGAUAUACGUCCAUCGUCGUGAUGGUACUUAUAACUGUACACCACAUAUGUUUCUGGUGCUAAGGUCCACUUCUUUUUCAUACAUAACCCAACAUCUAUUAUCAUUUUUUUCUUCAAAGGAUAUCUGGGCUGUCUCUCUGGGAGUUCGUCCUUCAGGUCGUCAAGAGAAAUGUCCUGGAAGUUAGCAAACAAGCGUUCUUAUAAUCCUCACUUUAAUACAGAUGGCUGGCUGCUGGCUCUCAGCUUUCAGAGAAGAUCCUUAGAGAUUAAGCCGAGAGGCGAGGAAUGAAACUUGCAGCCUGGCACAAGUGGCACAGGAAGUGCACAAGGAGGAGGAAGAAAAACCUCAAAGAGGAACCACCAUCAGCAUUUAGGCCAGAAAUAGGAGGCUAGAAAUGCAAGUCAGCUUUAUUUCACACCAGGAACUACUAGCACAAGCAGCUAGACCGGAAACAGCCUUUUGAUAAAUACUAAUGCCGGGCGCCGAAAAGUUGCUCUUUUACCCACAGAUCAAAUCAUGACGGCACGGAGGCAAGAUUGCAGAAAAACUACUUGUAAAACUCGAUCGUGUUGAAACAUGUUCCGUCAAGCUCUUUUACACACACACCGGAAACCGGCUAGAAAAGCCUUCAUCAUAACAUCUAAAGCCACAUUUCUCACUUGCGAAUGAAAACACAAAUACAAAAUAUCAAUUAGUAUUUAAUAUUGAAAGUGUACACCGUUUGGAAUUGUUUUGCCAUCAAUUACGUUUAUUUGACCGUGAAUUGGCUUUUAUUUUGAUAUCCCCAACCGGAACACCACUGCCACUAAACUUCACAGCUUCACGCUGGAGGGUGGAACUCAUGCUAAAGGCUACCAAGCUAAGGCUAGCCAAUCGUAAAUACUGUUCUUUGUCUCUCUCGAUCGCCCCUAAAACG